Molecule: long non-coding RNA, 955 nt
Filed under: Ananas comosus (pineapple)
Lineage: Eukaryota; Viridiplantae; Streptophyta; Magnoliopsida; Poales; Bromeliaceae
Description: long non-coding RNA (ACOM_LNC037913)
Source: RNAcentral
UUCUAACUCAAAAAAUUACGAAUAAAAUGGGUGGGUACCUAUUAAGUUAUUGGCAUUUUGGAUAACCUGCAGGUACCCACGGACACCCGCACAUAUAUUUUUUAAAUUAUAAAAUAUAUUUUUUUAAUUAAAAAAUAUAUAUUUUUAUUUAUCCUAUCUAUUCUAAAAAUCCUAACUUUAAUUUCUUAUCGCGUGUCUUUUAUAUUAUGAAAUAUUUUUACUUUAAGACUUUAAAUAUUUUUAUUAUAUAUUAUAAUAUUUUAAAUAAUAAAUUAUGUUAUGCUUUGAAAAUUUAUGUGUGUGUGUGUUUUGCAUUUAAAAAUAUAAGAGAAGAAAAAAAUUACAGGUAACCCGCAUAUCCACCCACCCGCGGGUGGGUAUGAGUAAAGAUGUUGGUUAUCUAAAAUUUUACGGAUAAAUUUUAUCUAUAUCUAAGUAAUCCACAAGUAUAAUGACCUGCCCACGGAUUAUUCAACUUGUCUGUUUGCCAGGUCUGAUCUUAUCGUCUAUUAUGUAAUUUUUUAUUGUCGGCCGAGAAAGAGACAAAGGUAGGCGAUGUGGAAAUUAAGCGGCUGUGGACGGAUACAACAUAUAAUAUAUUUUUGAGUAAACUAAUUGCAUCUCAAGUCCAUGAGCUUUUAGACAAGUCUUCUUUUGGUACUCAAACUUUUAAAUCUGAAAUUAAUGGCUUGGCUGGUUCAAGAGUGAAAUUAAAAUAAAUAAUGGAAUUGCAAUGACAAUUGAAUUGGCCUAUUUUUUCAAGACGUUUGGUUCAUUUUUUGAUUAAAAAUGGGAAUGGUUAUUCUCGUUCCACCGUUUGAUUCAUACAAACUAAAAAAUAAUAGAAUAACAUGGCAUUAAUUUUACUUUCAAAUAUAAUUCUAUAAAACUAUCUAAAAUUUAUAAAAAAAAAAAAUUAAUACUAUUCUCAAAUUAGAGCUAUGCCAAAAAAAAA